This 13091-nucleotide long non-coding RNA is filed under the name Malus domestica (apple). RNAcentral's name for it is "long non-coding RNA (MDOM_LNC008940)". Lineage: Eukaryota; Viridiplantae; Streptophyta; Magnoliopsida; Rosales; Rosaceae. The record is from RNAcentral.
AAAAGUGAUUAUUGUGGAAGCACUUGUUCCAGUGAUGCCAGAGACUAGCACCGCCGUGAAGAGCACCUCCCUACUUGAUGUGCUUAUGCUGAGUCAAAAAAGGGGAGGAAAGGAGCGGAGCCGAGAAGAGUUCAUGACUUUGGCAACUGGUGCUGGAUUUAGUGGCAUUAAAUAUGAAUGUUUUGUCGCCAGCCUUUGGGUGAUGGAGAUCUUUAAGUAAACAACUAUGAUCAGCAAAAUAGUGUUAUGCUUGAUUAUUAUUUCUGUGAGCUAUGUCUAGAUGUGUGUAUAAAUAAAAAUAACUCCAGCUCAUAAUUCGCAUCUCAAAAACACCUAUGUACGUGAACAUGAUCAGCAAAAUAUUUUUCUUAAAACUACAAGGAGAUAUAUUAUGGCAAAAUGUGUACGUGUAUAUUUAUUGGGUUAGAAUAAAGUAAAAACCUGCACAAACUCAACAUGACUUCAACGAGAUUAUUUAUUGGGUUGGGUCCGGUUGAUGGUUUUCUCACCCAUGUGGACCCAAACCAAACUCCAUUUCUUGCAUGAAUUGCUUACGCACAUGUCAGAACUUUGCCGUCUCAUAGAGAGCCCCGUCAACCAGCUAAAUUUAGUUUCGCUGAUAUUGCUCAAUUAGGGGAAGCUAUAGUUUCUGCCAUUCAGACAACAUUUCAUACUCCUCAGAGGACACCUCUUGAGACAGUUCAUAAUCUGAAGUUGACUCACUUCAUGGGAAAUAAAGGUCAUGAGGGGGCGGAAUAAUGGUUGAAUCAUGUGGAGAAGACCUUUCAGGUGAUGCAGAGUCAGGGGAAUUUUCUUCCUGAUAGGUGGGUCGAGACGACUACCUAGUUUUUGGGAGAACAGCCUGCAUCUUGGUGGAGAUAGGAGUCUUACGAGAUGACCCUAGAGGAGAUUAUGGACUUGGGAGUGUUUGAGGAGCGGUUUCAGAAAAGGUUCAUUCCUCCUGCGUAUAUCGAUAUUAAGAAACAAGAGUUUACUCAUCUGAGGCAAGGAAAGAUGUCCGUUAAUGAGUAUUACAGGAUGUUUACUGAUCUGUCGAGAUAUGAUCUGGAGGUUGCUGCUAAUCCGGUAGAGAUGCUUCGCCGUUUCAGUUUGGGUACUAAGAAGAAAUGGCGUUCCAUAGUGACAUCGACUCACUGUGCCUCUUACCAGGAGUUCUACGAGAUUCUACUGAGGAUUGAGGCCUCAGAGAACAUGCCUAGUGAAUGUAAGGAUGAGGAAGGAAAGAAUGGGGGCCAGGGACGAGAUGACAAAGGAAAAGGGCAAGCAUUUUAGGGACCCCGCAAGACCCAGAACUUUAAGAGAAGUGGUGGCAGUUUUAGCUCUUCUAGCGGAGGAUUGAGUACUAACAUGCAGAAGAGAGGUGGUAGAUUCACUGGAGGUCCGAGGUUCCAGAGACAGAGAGAUUUUGGUGGCUCAGGUGGAUCUGGUGCUCCCUUAUGCCGCAGGUGUAAUAAUCGGCAUUUUGGGGAGUGUAUGAGAGGUGGCAAUGUAUGUUUUACUUGUGGACAUAUGGGUCAUAGGGUUGCUCAAUGCCCUCAGAGUCAGCAGAGACCCCAGCAGCCUUCAUUCCCCCCACCUGCACCUACCCAGCACGCUUCAGGAUCUGGUGGUUGUACUCAGACUGGACAAGGAGGUGUCUACCAUUACUAGGGCGACGCCGCUCUCUACACCUCAGGUCAGCAGCAGUACUCUCAGGAUCCUCAGUAUCAGAGUGGGUAUCCUUAGUAUAAGGGAUGAUCUAUGUCUUAUCAGCCACAUUCAGCCAGUGGAUCUUAGUGGUACCAAGGGGGACAGCCCCAGCAGGGAGAGAUUGCUGCUAGCAGUGCAGGAUCUUCGAGGUAGUCGGGUCAACAGAGGCAGGGACGUAGUGUUCACGCCAAGAGAAGUCGCGGUAGACGACAUCAGAACCAGGCACAUAUCCACAACAUGUCACUACAAGAUGCCUAGAAUAAUCCAGAUUUAAUCAUAGGUACGUUAAAUAUUCUUGGUAAUUUUGCUAGAGUGUUGAUUGAUUGUGGUGCUACACAUUCUGUUAUUUCUCAUACAUUUGCUCAAGUGACACGACCUCAUCCUACACCUAUAGGAUAUAAUUUAGAAUUUUCUAUGCCUAGAGGGGAUAGCUAUUUUGUGGAUCGGGUAUAUCCAGGAUGUCCAGUGAUAGUAGAGGGUAUUAUUAUGUCGGCUAAUCUUAUGCCAUUGGAUAUUAUGGAUUUUGAUGUGAUUUUGGGCACUGAUUGGUUGCACUAUAAUCGUGCCAAGAUAGAUUGUUAUGGGAAGACAGUCACAUUUCAUGGUCCUAGAUUACCUGAAGUUACAUUUGUAGGAGAGCCUAGUGGGGUGAGGCAUGGUAUUAUUUCAGCCAUGAAAGCAAAUAGACUAUUGUUGAAAGGUUGCCAGGGAUAUUUGGCUCAUGUGGUGCUGAAUGAUGAUACUCCUAGUAGUGUGGAGGAUGUUCGUGUGGUCAGAUAUUUCCGGAUGUAUUCCCUGAGGAUCUGCCUGGAUUGCCGCCAGAUAGAGAGUUGGAGUUUGUUAUUGAUUUGCUUCCAGGUACGAAUCCUAUAUCUUUGACUCCUUACAGAAUGGCUUCUGCUGAAUUAAGAGAAUUGAAAGUGCAGUUGCAAGAGUUAGUGGAUAAAGGUUUCAUUCAGCCUAGUACUUCACCUUGGGGAGCCCAUUCUUAUUUGUGAGGAAGAAAGAUGGAACUUUGAUGUUGUGCAUUGAUUACAGGUAAUUGAAUCGGGUAACCAUUAAGAAUCGUUAUCCAUUGCCUCGUAUAUAUGAUUUAUUUGAUCAACUCAGAGGUGCCUGCGUAUUUUCUAAGAUUGACUUGAGGUCGGGAUACUAUCAGUUGAAGAUUAAAAAUGAAGAUGUCCCUAAAACCGCAUUCAGGACUCGAUAUGGUCAUUAUGAGUUUCUUGUGAUGCCAUUCGGGUUAACUAAUGCACCAGCAACUUUUAUGGAUUUGAUGAAUCGAGUGUUCCAGCCAUAUUUAGACAAGUUUGUUAUUGUCUUCAUUGACGAUAUCCUGGCAUACUCUAAGUCUAAGGCUGAGCAUGCUAAACAUUUGAAAUUAGUGUUGAGCAGUUUGAGGGAACACCAACUAUAUGCUAAGUUUAGCAAAUGUGAAUUUUGGUUUAAUCAAGUGGCAUUUUUGGGACAUGUCAUUUCUGCUCAAGGCAUUCAAAUGGAUUCUCAUAAAGUAGCAGCUGUGGAGAAUUGGGAGUAAGCUCGAACCGUCACUGAGGUACGGAGUUUUCUUGGCUUAGCAGACUAUUAUAGACGGUUUGUUAAGGAUUUUUCAGUGAUCGCUUUGCCAUUGACGAGGUUGACGCGCAAGAAGGUUAAGUUUGAGUGGGAUAAUAAAUGUGAGCAAAGUUUCCAGCAGUUAAAGUAUUAUCUUACUCAUGCUCCUGUUCUAGCGCUUCCAGAUGAUAGCGGUAAUUAUGAGGUUUAUAGUGAUGCUUCUUUGAAUGGUUUGGGUUGUGUAUUAAUGCAACAUGGUAGUGUAAUUGCUUAUGCUUCAAGACAAAGCCUCAUGAGAAGAAUUACCUUACACAUGAUUUGGAAUUAGCAGCUAUCAUCUUUGCCUUGAAGAUUUGGAAACAUUAUCUUUAUGGUGAGAAAUGUAAGAUCUUCACAGAUCAUAAGAGUCUCCAAUAUCUGUUUACCCAGAGAGACCUUAAUCUUUGGCAGUGGAGGUGGAUUGAAUUGCUUAGUGACUAUGAUUGCAUGAUUGAGUAUCAUCCUGGUCGUGCAAAUACAGUGGCUGAUGCACUGAGUAGAAAGACUCCAGCCAGACUUAAUGCCAUUUAUGAUUGUCAUGUUCCUUUUCUAGCAAAUUUAAGGUCCACUGGAGUGGAGCUAGGAGUGGAAGAUCGAGGAGAAGCCUUGCUUGCUAAUUUCCAGGUUAGGCCAGUUUUAAUUGAUCAUGUGCUUGAGACUCAGAUGAUUGAUGAGGAGACCCAGGAAAUAAUUCAAGCAAGGAAUCAAGGCAAAAAGAAAGAUUUUGAGAUUCAAGAAACUGAUGGCAUGCUUAUGCAGGAAAGUAGGAUGUAUGUGCCGAAUAAUUCAGAAUUAAAGAAAGAAUUUUGGAUGAAGCACAUAUUUCGGCAUAUGCGAUGCAUCCAGGAGGCACUAAGAUGUAUCAUACCAUUAGACCAUUUUAUUAUUGGUCAGGUAUGAAAAGAGAAAUUGCCGAAUAUGUGAGUAGGUGUGCCAUUUGCCAACAGGUUAAAGCUGAAAGAAAGAAGUCGUUUGGGUUGAUGCAACCACUUCCCGUUCCACAGUGGAAAUGGGAAAAUAUUACUAUGGAUUUUGUAUACAAGCUUCCUCGCACACAGAAUGGUUAUGAUGGCAUUUGAAUGGUAGUUGAUCGGCUUACGAAGUCAGCACAUUUUAUUCCAGUAAGGGAGAAGUAUUCGUUAAGCUGAUUAGCUAAGUUAUUCAUAUCGCAGAUUGUGAAGUAUCAUGGUGUGCCAGUUAAUAUCAUCUUGGAUCAGGAUCCUAGAUUUACUUCCAAGUUCUGGAUAGCAUUCCAGGAAGAUCUUGGUAUGAGAUUGCUUUAUAGUACAACAUAUCAUCCUCAGACAGAUGGACAAUCUGAGAGGACCAUUCAGACAUUAGAGGAUAUGUUAAGAUCUUCAGUGUUACGGUUUGGAGAUAGUUGGCAUGAUUGUUUGGAUUUGAUGGAGUUCGCCUACAAUAACAGUUAUCAUUUGAGUAUUGGUAUGGCACAAUUUGAGGCACUUUAUGGGAAAUCUUGCCGUACACCUCUAUGUUAGUCAGAGGUUGGCGAAAGAGUUUUAGUGGGCCCUGAGAUUGUGGAUGUGACUACUCAAAAUGUUCAAGUAAUUAAGUCUAACCUGAAAGCGGCCCAAGAUCGACAAAAGAGCUUAGCAGACAAACAUGCCAUUGAUCGGAGUAUGAUGUACGCGAUUGGGUAUUUCUGAAGCUAUCACUUUGGAAAGGUGUUGUACGAUUUGGAAAGAAAGGAAAGUUGAGUCCUAGGUCCCUUGGACCAUAUAUGAUCACCGAGCGAGUCGGUGAGGUUGCUUACAAGCUUGAGUUACCUCCAGAGUUGUCCAAGGUACAUGAUAUGUUUCAUGUUUCGAUGCUUCGACAUUAUGUUUCAGAUCCUUCACAUGUGAUUCCUCCUCAACCUUUGGAAAUCAAUCCGGACUUGACUUAUGAUGAGGAACCAAUGACUCUAUUGGAUUGGAAGGAUAAAGAACUGAGGAACAAGACAGUUCGUCUGGUAAAAGUGUUAUGGAGAAAUCAUUCAGUGGAAGAAGCUACUUAGGAGACAGAUGAUCGGAUGAGAGAGAUGUAUCCACGAUUGUUUUAUGAUUAUUAAUGGAUGUAUUUGUUAUGUACAAUUUCGAGGAUGAAAUUUUAUAAGUUGGGGAAAUUGUCACAACCCGUCCCGGAAAUGUACAUUAUUUUGUUAUCGUUGAUGUGAAAAGACUAAAAUUCCCUUGAGCAUUUGUGGCAUUGUGGGACUAUGUGUGGUUGGGGACCAAUGUGUUAAGUCCCUAUUAUUUUGGAACCAAUUGGAAGUAAGGAAAAUGAGUUGUUUUGAUUGGUGACCCUAAAAUCUGGACCACACAUCCUAUCUCUCUCUUACUCUCCCUUGCUCUCUCUUUUCUCUCUCUCGGUUUCAUUCUCUAUCCUUCGAAAUGGUAUGGACAAGCACCCAAGACCAUUGAAACUUCACGGAUCGUGGCCAAAAUUAGUACAAUUGUGUUCGUGAAGACCAUACGAGUUCAAAGGUACCCAUUUCAGGUAAGAACUUGUUCGAUAUCACGUUGAAAAUUCAAGCUCCGAGUUGAGCACUAUUCAUGAACUUUUAAAUGGUUAUGUUUUAGGACAAUCCAAGCUCAUAGCAAGCUUAGUGAGGUCCCAAGGAAGCUCGGAGUGCUUCAUUUGAAGGUUUUGGAUGUUGAGAUCGUGUGGACGAAGUUUGGCCGAUUUUCUUAGAAUUCUCCGGUGAGAUCCCGUGACUUUUAGAGCUUUAAAUUGGUAUGAUUGUGUUCUACAAGUUAAGAGCUUCAUUUUGGUAUAAAAUACGUGAAAAAUGGUGCAAAAACAAGUGAGAAAUGGGCAGUCGCAAGUCUGCCCAGAAUCCAGUGCUGGUGACACAGUUCCGGCGACUGGAGGUUGAAGAUGAUGCGCGUGGGCCGCAGUGAAGCCGUGUCCUCCCCGGCGCGUGAGCCAUAGAAAAAUUUAUCUAAAAAUAUCACGACGUUCGUGAGGUUGUGUAGGUCAUGUUGGUAUAUUUAAAUACCAAAAUUGAGCAAUGUAUGAGAAGUUAUUAGCUAGUUUUGCUUAUGUGCUUUCAAAUAACAUUUUUAUAGUUAAUUCGCAUAUAGGUGAGACUUAUCCCGAGGACGAGCGUAUCCAUGGGCGACUCGGGGGCUACGACCCUUCGACAUACCAGUGAGUGGGCUUUUGUUUUCAGUAUAUAUUUAUAUACUUGAUAUAUUUCCCAGAAAUGCAUUUUAAGGAAAGUAUGCUUUGAAAUAAUAUGCCAAAUGCUUCUAUAUUUUGAAUAUGCAUUGCAUGGUUGCAUAUAUAUAUAUAUAUAUAUAUAUAUAUAUAUAUAUAUAUAUAUGAGGCUGUGGAGGCACAUGUGAGUUCAGGUAAGUUAUGUUUGGCUGUGUGAAUCAUCGAUGAUGUGAUAUGUGAUUAAGUAAUGUUGAGCUCAUAAAGCUGCACCUACGGUGAUUGUGAAUUAGCCAGAGAUAUGAGGUACAAGCCUGUUUAAUUACAUCACCUCCCGCAUUAUAUGCUCAUAUUGGAUCCAACUUAAGUGCACAGCCUUGUCAUACAAACCUUAUUUAUGGUUUCGACUCGUAGGUGACUAGCGAUUCAUCGCCCGACUAUUAUGAGAGAAAAGAGUUGAGCAUAAUGAUAUUUCACCCAAUCUUAUCGUACAGACCCUUCUUAGUGGUUCCGACUUAUGUGCAGUAUAUUGCCGUAUAGGUCAUUGUAGUGACUCCGGCCAGAUUAACUUUUGAGUUAUGAAUUCAGCCGUACAAACUACCUCAGAGGUUCCGGCUAACAUAUCAUGUUUCUAUGAAAUCAUUCUUACCUGGAUUGUUUACUUUGUUUUAGUUUGGCAUGGCAUACAUAUGAAUAUGGUUAUGUGAAGCAUGAAUUGAAUUGAUAUGAUCAUAUAUAUAUAUAUGUAUAUACUUAUAUCUUGAUUCUGGGAAAAUUAUACAUGUUUUACAGUGGGGGGUUAGUAUAUUGAUAAAUGAAAUGAUUUUGUAAAAUAAUUGUUUUUACCCACUCACGUUUUCUGUUUUGCGCCUCUCCAGGUUCUAAGUAAGUUUACUGUUGGUGGCUCGGGAUUGUCGGCUGUUCUGACUUAUCAAAAUAAUAGUAGGACAUUCCUGGUACUGUAUAACUAAUACUUGUCCUACUGGACUGCACUUAUACUUUAUGCUCUGAUUAGGAGUGUUUACUGUUGUAACUUACUCCUAUCACUUUCUGUUUAGUAAUGCACUCUAGUAAUCUGGUUUUAAAUUAUUUGUAUAGUUGCUAUCUUUAUCGCUUCCGCACUGUGCACAAUGCUACGUCACCCUCACGUAACGGCCAGCAUGCCUUGACCUUGGUCAGGAUGUGUCACUGCUUCUGGGUUGCACCGUGAAAGAGAAAGAUCAAAGUAGAUGUUUUUUAAAAUUUAUAAGUGAAGGUUUAAUGUAGAUAUAUAUUUUUAAUUUAUGAGUGAAUGUUUAAUGUUAAGGUUGUUUAUAGUCAUUCAUUAUUACGGUCUGGAAGUAUUCCUCUUUACUUGUAAGUGAGAGGUCUUAGGUUCGAAGAAUGCGUAUCCCAUCAAAACAAUAGAUUCACUAACACUUAAGAGUCUAUUCAUACUUUCAUUAAGUAUAACAUAAGAUUUUGUGGUAUCCACUAGUGUAAAUAUUUUAAAUUGAAGAUCGAGUUCAUUCAUUAUAUUCCUAUAUGGUCAAGUAGUGUAGUUGUAAAAAAUCAUCAAAAUCGGAGUUAAAAUAACCGCUAAAUCAUGAUUUUUCAUUGAUAGCCGUAAAAAAGUAUUGUCUCGUUACUUGAUCUCUGAAUGUUUGUUUUUUUUUCUUUUUUUGCAAUUUUUGGCGUAUGCGAUCUCGAAGUAUAUACAAAUAUGUUUGACGGUUGGAUCGUUGAAACUAGUUUCGUAGAAUGCAUAUCCCAUCAAAACAAUAGAUUCACUAACACUUAAGAGUUUAUUCAUACUUUCAUUAAGUAUAACAUAAGAUUUUGUGGUAUCCACUAGUGUAAAUAUUUUAAAUGGAAGAUCGAAUUCAUUCAUUGUAUUCAUAUAGGGUCAAGGAGUGUAGCUGUAAAAAUCAUCAAAAUCGGAGUUUAAAUAACCGUUAAAUCGUGAUUUUUCGUUGAUAACCGUAGAAAAGUUUUGUCCAGUUACUUGACUUCUGAAUGUUUGUUUUUUUCAAUUUUUGGCAUAUGUCAUCUUUAAGCAUAUACAAACAAGUUUAACGGUUGGAUCGUUGAAAUUAGUUUCGUAGAAUGUGUAUCCCAUCAAAACGAUAGAUUCACUAACACUUAGAGUUUAUGUAUACUUUCAUUAAGUAUAACAUAAGAUUUUGUGGUAUCCACUAGUGUAAAUAUUUUAAAUUGAAGAUCGAGUUCAUUCAUUAUAUUCCUAUAUGGUCAAGUAGUGUAGUUGUAAAAAAUCAUCAAAAUCGGAGUUAAAAUAACCGUUAAAUCAUGAUUUUUCAUUGAUAGCCGUAAAAAAGUAUUGUCUUGUUACUUGAUCUCUGAAUGUUUGUUUGUUUUUUUUUUUUUGCAAUUUUUGGCGUAUGCAAUCUCGAAGUAUAUACAAACAUGUUUGACGGUUGGAUCGUUGAAAUUAGUUUCGUAGAAUGCAUAUCCCAUUAAAACAAUAGAUUCACUAACACUUAAGAGUUUAUUCAUACUUUCAUUAAGUAGAACAUAAGAUUUUGUGGUAUCCACUAGUGUAAAUAUUUUAAAUGGAAGAUCGAAUUCAUUCAUUGUAUUCAUAUAGGGUCAAGGAGUAUAGCUGUAAAAAUCAUCAAAAUCAUAGUUAAAAUAACUGUUAAAUCGUGAUUUGUCGUUGAUAACCGUAGAAAAGUUUUGUUCAGUUACUUGACCUCUAAAUGUUUGUUUUUUUUUUAAUUUUUGGCAUAUGCCAUCUUAAAGCAUAUACAAACAAGUUUGAUGGUUCGAUCGUUGAAAUUAGUUUCGUAGAAUGUGUAUCCCAUCAAAACGAUAGAUUCACUAACACUUAGAGUUUAUUUAUACUUUCAUUAAGUAUAACAUAAGAUUUUGUGGUAUCCACUAGUGUAAAUAUUUUAAAUUGAAGAUCGAAUUCAUUCAAUGUAUUCAUAUAGGGUCGAGGAGUAUAGCUGUAAAAAAUAAUCGAAAUCAGAGUUAAAAUAACCAUUAAAUCAUGAUUUUUCGUUGAUAACUGUCGAAAAGUUUUGUUCCAUUAUUUAAUCGCUAAAUGUUUGUUUUUUACGAUUUUUUACCGAUGCAAUCUCGAAGCAUAUACAAACAAGUUUGUUGGAUCGUUGAAAUUAGUUUCAUAGAAUUCGUGUCCCAUCAAGUUCAAUGAUAUAUAUAUAUAUAUAUAUAUAUAUAUAUUAAGUAGAUUUAAAUUUAUUGAUUUUGUACAUAUAACACUUAAAAAAUUGAAUGGUAUGUAUACUUAAGCCGAUCCAAUGGUCACAAAUUUUUAAUAUUUAAUUUAAUAUAUAUAUAUAUAUAAUUAUUAUAGUUUUUAGGGGUAUAAAAUUGUUAAAUUAAUAUAUAUAAUUAUUAUAGUAUUUUUUAGGGUUAUAAAAUUAUAAAAUUAAUAUUUUGCUUAUCAUGUAUCGUGUUACUCACGUGUAUACCCGAACGAACCCGUUAUCUUAACAGGUGCUUAUCGGGUUACCCGAUAACAACCCGAUUCUUUAUCGUGUUGACCCGAAUACCUGUUAAUUUCGUGUCGUGUCGUGUCGGGUUAUCGGGUCGUGUCUAGAAUUGCCAAGCCUAACUUGGAGUCCUGCUUCUGGGUUGCACCGUGAAGGUUUAAUGUAGAUUUUUUUAAAAAAAAUUUAUGAGUGAAGGUUUAAUGUUAAGGUUGUUUAUAGUGAGAGGUUUUAGGUUCGAAUCUUGUGGAUGACGAAUUCAAUACCAAACUAGGUUGUCAUUACAUGGCUUAACCUAACUUCCCCCUCCCCUUAGUGUAAAAUAUAUUCGUUCUACUAAAGAAAAAACAAAGCUAAGGUUGUUUAUCAAAUGUCAAAGAUGAUUAAUUUGAUGUCAUAUAAAUAUAAUAAUAGUGGUGGGAUGUAAUCAAACUUGGAAGUUGGCAUUUGGAAUUAGGAAACAAUAUUUUUAAAUUUGUUGCAUUGUUGACAAAUAAGAGCAUGACUGUAAAUGUAUGAAGCAUGAUAAUUGGAGGAGGUUUGAAAAGAAAAGGUCAGUAUAGGCGCCCUAGGCCAAUCCUUGUCUCUUCGUCCCUCCGCCAUAGUGUAGUACUUUGAAGGGUAGAGCAACAACAAAAAUGUCUUAAUUAGUCACUAAUUUUAAUUGAUUCUCGUGACAAUUCUCCCGCUUUCAAUACAUUAUCAUGUAUUGAAUAUGGAAUUCUAUAACAUUUGUUGAGUUUGAAUGUUUCGACAGACCCCACAUAGAUGAUAGAGUUAUGCAGACUUCUAGUAGAAUUGCACUUGUACAUUUAGGUGAAAGUUCGAUCGAGUCAUGUAAAAUAGACGGGCGUAUAAAAUAGAUUCAAAUAUCAGUGCCGCAAGCUAAAAUUUGUUUCAGGACUUAAAAUAUAAAGCAGGAAUUGACCAAAAGGAAGUUCUGGCUUUAUAUAUAGAGAAGAUAAGUAAACACAUUCAGGUGGCAUUAAGUAUCACAAUACAAAUAUAGACAGUCCAAUGGCCCUGCAGCUGGAAGAAGAGGAAAACUUCGGCUGUGCCAUGCAGCUGGUGUUUUCUUCUGUGUUGUCCAUGUCUAUGAAAUCAGCAAUCGAUCUAGGCGUUUUCGACAUCAUAGCGAAAGCCGGUCCUGGUGCCAAGCUGUCUUCGUCAGAGAUUGCAGCCCAUAUCGGCAGCGGCACCAGGAAUUCUGAGGCACCGAUGAUGUUGGAUCGUAUUCUAAGGCUCCUAGCCAGUUACUCUAUUCUCAGCUGCUCUGUCGUUGCUAAUGAAGAAGAUGGGUCUGAUUCUCAGAGGGUCUACAGCAUUGGUCCUGUGUCCAACUACUUUGUGACUGAUGAGGAUGGUAUUUCUUUAGGUCCCAUGAUGGCAUUGUCGCAAGACAAGGUCGUCCUAGACUCCUGGUCUGUUUAGUACUACUCUCUUGCCCCUACUAAUUAACCAUUGUCUUGACCCUUUUCUCUUUUUAUUCAUCUAUAUUUUGUUUUAGUAGAAUUAUUAGAGAUAAUUAGAGCAAUAGUUCUGAAUUUUAGUUCAAUUGGAACUUUGGUCUUUAAAUUAAAUAUCCCUAAAUAUUAGUCUCUAAACUUGUUACAAUGGAAAACAAUAAUUUUUUUUUAAUGACUCCAUUCAAACUUCGUCCCUUUUUGGCCUCUUUGAACCUUUUAUUCUAAAACGAAAUUACCAAGAAUGUUAUUCAAAAGAACUAUUGCUUCAUAUUAUGACAAGUUCAGAAAGCAAUAACAACAACAACAACAACAAAGCCUUUUCCCACUAAGUUCAGAAAGCAAUACUCAAAAAAAAAUUAGUUCAGGAACCAAAGCUCAAAUUGUGCCAAAAUUGCUCCAAUUUUUUCAAAUUACUAUGAAAAAGAAACCAAUAUAACUUGAAAAUAACUUUUCUAUUAUGCACGACUCACUAUAAACUGAUUUGGCAAUUUUUCAUUUGUUUCAUUAUGGAAUCACUUACAAGUUAUUUAUUCACAGAAAAUUAGAAAUUGCCACAUCAGUCAUUGUAGAAAAGAAAUUGUCUCUCUAGCUUUUAUUUUCUAAUUAGCCUAAUUAAUAGUAAUUAUCUUGUUUCAAAAAAAAAAAAAAUAGUAAUUUAUCUUUUUAACUCUAACUUGGGUGAUACACAUUGACAUUGAUAGGUCCCAACUGAAGGAUGCAGUUGUUGAAGGAGGAAUUCCAUUUCACAGGGUCCAUGGCAAGCAGUCUUAUGAGUACCUAGGUUUAGACUCCAGGUUUAGUCAAGUUUUCAACACAGCAAUGUUUAACCUCACCACUAUUGUCACCAAGAAGAUUCUUCAUGUCUACGAGGGUUUUGAGAAAAUUACCCAACUUGUUGAUGUUGGUGGUGGUUUGGGAGUCACUAUUAGUCUAAUCACUUCUAAGCAUCCCCAUAUUAAGGGUAUCAAUUACGACUUGCCUCAUGUCAUAAAAGAUGCCACUUCAUAUCCUGGUAAAGAUCACUUUAGUUAAUUUGAUUUGUAAUAGUUAGUUGGAACAUGAUGUUCGCACACUCACUAUUUUCCUUUCCCUACACACUUAUGUUUUAACUUCAGGUUAAAUAAAUCAUACAGAGAAUCAAAAGACAUAAAUAUACAAAGAUAUACAAAAGAAGCAAACGACAUGCGGGAAUUAAUUUUCUUCUUAUUUUAUCAUGCACAAGCCAUGCAACUUAAAAUAGGAAUUAAUUUAUUUUUGCAGGGGUGGAACAUGUUGGAGGAGACAUGUUUACAAGUGUUCCAUCUGGGGAUGCCAUUUUGUUGAAGGUUAAUUUUCAUUUUCCCGAGCAUUAAUUUUGUUUUCCUAUUCAGUUUGAGGUCAUACGAACAAUGGUUACAAUGUAUCUUUCGAUAAAUUUGUAGUGGGUACUUCACAAUUGGAGUGACCAACACUGCCUAAAGCUGUUGGAAAAUUGUUACAAUGCUAUUCCAGACGAUGGAAAAGUGAUUAUUGUGGAAGCACUUCUUCCAGUGAUGCCAGAGACUAGCACCGCCGUGAAGAGCACCUCUCUACUUGAUGUGCUUAUGCUGAGUCAAAAAAGGGGAGGAAAGGAGCGGAGCCGAGAAGAGUUCAUGACUUUGGCAACUGGUGCUGGAUUUAGUGGCAUUAAAUAUGAAUGUUUUGUCGCCAGCCUUUGCGUGAUGGAGAUCUU